GACGAACGCUGGCGGCGUGCCUAAUACAUGCAAGUCGAGCGAGUCUGCCUUGAAGAUCGGAGUGCUUGCACUCUGUGAAACAAGAUACAGGCUAGCGGCGGACGGGUGAGUAACACGUGGGUAACCUGCCCAAGAGAUCGGGAUAACACCUGGAAACAGAUGCUAAUACCGGAUAACAACAGAUGAUGCCUAUCAACUGUUUAAAAGAUGGUUCUGCUUUCACUCUUGGAUGGACCUGCGGUGCAUUAGCUAGUUGGUAGGGUAACGGCCUACCAAGGCGAUGAUGCAUAGCCGAGUUGAGAGACUGAUCGGCCACAUUGGGACUGAGACACGGCCCAAACUCCUACGGGAGGCAGCAGUAGGGAAUCUUCCACAAUGGACGCAAGUCUGAUGGAGCAACGCCGCGUGAGUGAAGAAGGGUUUCGGCUCGUAAAGCUCUGUUGUUGGUGAAGAAGGACAGGGGUAGUAACUGACCUUUGUUUGACGGUAAUCAAUUAGAAAGUCACGGCUAACUACGUG
Molecule: ribosomal RNA, 519 nt
Filed under: uncultured bacterium
Lineage: Bacteria
Description: partial 16S ribosomal RNA
Rfam family: Bacterial small subunit ribosomal RNA
Source: RNAcentral